GAGUUUGAUCCUGGCUCAGGAUGAACGCUAGCGGCAGGCUUAAUACAUGCAAGUCGAACGGGAUUUAGGGUAGCAAUACUUUAAUGAGAGUGGCGCACGGGUGCGUAACACGUAUGCAACCUACCUUUAACUGGAAGAUAGCCCCGGGAAAUCGGGAUUAAUAUUUCAUAACAAUGCGCGAUGGCAUCAUCAUGCAUUUAAAGCUCCGGCGGUUAAAGAUGGGCAUGCGGGACAUUAGCUUGUUGGUGAGGUAACGGCUCACCAAGGCUAUGAUGUCUAGGGGUCCUGAGAGGGUUAUCCCCCACACUGGUACUGAGACACGGACCAGACUCCUACGGGAGGCAGCAGUAAGGAAUAUUGGUCAAUGGGCGCAAGCCUGAACCAGCCAUGCCGCGUGCAGGAAGACGGCCCUAUGGGUUGUAAACUGCUUUUGUCAGGGAAUAAACCCCCGUACGUGUACGGGGCUGAAGGUACCUGAAGAAUAAGCAUCGGCUAACUCCGUGCCAGCAGCCGCGGUAAUACGGAGGAUGCAAGCGUUAUCCGGAUUCAUUGGGUUUAAAGGGUGCGCAGGCGGAUUGGUAAGUCAGGGGUGAAAUCCCACAGCUCAACUGUGGAACUGCCUUUGAUACUGUCAGUCUUGAGUAUAGUUGAAGUGGGCGGAAUGUGUCAUGUAGCGGUGAAAUGCUUAGAUAUGACACAGAACACCGAUCGCGAAGGCAGCUCGCUAAACUAUAACUGACGCUCAUGCACGAAAGCGUGGGGAUCAAACAGGAUUAGAUACCCUGGUAGUCCACGCCGUAAACGAUGAUUACUCGAUGUUGGCGAUACACAGUCAGCGUCUGAGCGAAAGCAAUAAGUAAUCCACCUGGGGAGUACGAUCGCAAGAUUGAAACUC
Molecule: ribosomal RNA, 895 nt
Filed under: uncultured bacterium
Lineage: Bacteria
Description: bacterial SSU rRNA
Rfam family: Bacterial small subunit ribosomal RNA
Source: RNAcentral